CAAUAUAAGAGGUCCAGCCUGCCCAGUGACUUUUGUUUAACGGCCGCGGUAUCCUAACCGUGCGAAGGUAGCGUAAUCACUUGUUCUUUAAAUAAGGACUAGUAUGAAUGGCAUCACGAGGGUUAUACUGUCUCCUUUUUCUAAUCAGUGAAACUAAUCUCCCCGUGAAGAAGCGGGGGUAGUAAUAUAAGACGAGAAGACCCUAUGGAGCUUUAAACUAAACAACACUUGCUUUACUAAAUUUUAAAUUUCAGAAGAAAGACUCAUUUAACAAGAUGAUUGUAAGUUUUAGGUUGGGGUGACCAUGGAGUAAAAAUUAACCUCCAUGCUGAAAUAACAUUUAAUGUUUUAUCCACGAGCUACUGCUCUAAGCAUCAACAUAUUGACAUCUAUUGACCCAAUUAUUUGAUCAACGAACCAAGUUACCCUAGGGAUAACAGCGCAAUCCACUUCAAGAGCUCAUAUCGACAAGUGGGUUUACGACCUCGAUGUUGGAUCAGGGUAUCCCAGUGGUGCAGCCGCUACUAAAGGUUCGUUUGUUCAACGAUUAA
This 551-nucleotide ribosomal RNA is filed under the name Pseudopaludicola mystacalis (Cope's swamp frog). Its description in RNAcentral is "partial 16S ribosomal RNA". It matches the Rfam family "Bacterial large subunit ribosomal RNA", at positions 1841 to 2591 of the family's 2925-position model. Lineage: Eukaryota; Metazoa; Chordata; Amphibia; Anura; Leptodactylidae. The record is from RNAcentral.